This 24501-nucleotide long non-coding RNA is filed under the name Solanum tuberosum (potato). RNAcentral's name for it is "long non-coding RNA (STUB_LNC008740)". The record is from RNAcentral. Lineage: Eukaryota; Viridiplantae; Streptophyta; Magnoliopsida; Solanales; Solanaceae.
AGACUUUUCUUUUUCCCAGAAACACGCUUCUUCCCCACACCUACGACGCCCCAACGUCUUCUUCUUUUUUCUAGAAAAAAGGGACGACGCCUCACUCUUUCUCCUCCUUCCCCAUGCCCAUUCGUCCUCUCUCAUCAAUCGCCCGUCGUCCGCUGCCAAAGAAAUGGCCAUGGAUCGCCGGAAAACAACAAUAUCCGGCGGUCUCCAAAACCAUCCCCCUCCGCCGUCCAUCAAUCAUACCCUCUUCAUGUCAAUUUUACAUCUCUUCCAUCAUCUUUUCUGAACCAUGGCAAACCUCAAAAGCUCCUCCACCACCAUUACUCUGCCUGAAAAGUGAAGGACACGAAGAACCAUUAGAUUUUGAUUCGUCUCACCCUUAAUCUUAUGGGUAUGAGAGUGGAAGCCUCUCCAAAAUUGCCUAUAAAAGACCUCUUGGGUUCUCAAUCGAGGAUCAUCUGGAAAUCAUCUAGAAAAUGAUCCGGAAAAUCAUCGAAGAACGAUAAAAAAGAGGGACAAAAGCACGCUUCAAGCAUUAGGUUUUAGAAUUUUUCGAUCUUCUUUCAUCUUUUUUUAUUAUUAUUUUCAACUCGAGUUUCGAGAGUAAGUUUGAUUUUGGAAUCUCUUAGACGUAGAAGCUCUAGUUUGCUGCUCAACACAAGGUAAAACGAUUCCUCCUUAUGAUGCUCUUUGUCCCUUUUCGUCUCCGAAAUAAGAUCCUUGUUUGCUGUUUGUGAGUUCUGUUGUGAGUGAGUAUAUCUCAUGGUUUUAGUAUUUUUUGUCUUUGAUUUUGCUUCCCACAGAUCAUGGGUUAGUAAACUGAAGUCGGUAACCACCCUCGCCUUAUAUUUUGUUUUUGGUUUUCUAAAAAAUAUUAUUCUUAUGUCGUUAUCUUGAUUCUGCCAUUUGGAUUCAAUUAGCUACUCUAAAUAGGCUCAUAAAAACAAGUAAUAGAAGUCAAUGGCAAUAAAAAGGACUGCUGAUUAAUGUAUCUGAUAUGUGUUUUGUUGAAAUGUUUUUUUUUAGUAUAUAUAUCCCCUCUUAGAGGUCUUUGGUGCAAGUAAACUAAUUUUGGACAGUAAAGCUUGAUGUCAAGUCACCAUUUUUUUAUCUAUAUAACUGAAAUUGGUGUUGUAUCUCCUUGUUGUUAAUUGCUGUUUUUCAUCUGUUAAAAUCCAAAGCUAUACAGCCAAAACAAUCAUAAUCUUUUCAUCUUUCAGCCGUCAUUUUGUUUCCAACUAAUUUUAAUCAAAUGGUCAUUAUGUUAUAUAAAAUUAAUUACAGUUGCAUCUCAUUUAAAUAUGGGGAGCAAAAUAUGACAGUAGUGGCCUGUGAUUCUCUUUUUUAAGAAAAUGUGUUGCUGGUCGUAUGUUUACGUAAAAAAUCUGAAUAAAUCAUUAGCUCGAUGUUCCAUUUUUGACAGACAAUAUAUUUUUACAAAGCAUUUUUUAUCUUGAUGAAUGAUGUUUAGUGAAGCUUUAAAACAUGUAGUACUCAACUAAUGUGUUGGAUUAGUGACUUUGAAUCAUCAAAAUUUAGUUGAUUGUUAUAAUCAUCGUUGGCAUAAUAUUUUUCUUUCUCUUUCCUCAAAUGUAUGGUUAUCUAGGCCUCAAAUCUUGACCUUGUUACAUUUUCCAAUAUAAUAUACGCUAUGUAAAAUUGUGUAAAGGGCUGCUCUGUUUUGAAUUUAUUAUAGUUAUUUGAACAGUUCCCAAUCCCUUUACCUCUUCUUAUGUUACAUGUACAAUUGGAAAGCUGAAGUUUCUAUUUUGGAAUUCGUUAUUGGCCUAAGAUAUUAGGCCAACAACAAAUUAGGAUCAUCGCAACACUUGGAGCUUCGCAAAUUAGGAGUUCAAUAUUUCUUAGCCUUCCUCUUUUCGAGUCUUAAUUAUAUUGUUUGGAUAUAUUGGCUAACCUUUACUUACAAGUUUUUGAUAUAUUGUUUGUCUUUUAUUUUGAAGCUUAUUUUUACGUGAACUAAUAUUAUUUGUUUAUGAAUUUAGUUGAGUAGAAUAAAUGAUAUAAAAGAUAUUUUCUUAAAAAUGAGUUAGCAUUCUUACUUAUAACAAUCUUUUAGGCCUUUUAAGUUGAAAAGAAAGGUUUCUAGUUUAAAAGUUUUCCAAAUGAAGUUUCAAAAGGUUAAAAUAAUAUUCGUUUAGGUGUUUCAAAAUUGGGGAAAAGAAGUAUAUAUCGACUUAGGCACUUAAGGAAUAGGAAAAUUUAUUGUCUAAAACUCUCUAUUGAAAUUUUAAAAGGGUGAAAUAAUUUUCAUUUAGAUAUCUAAGUAGAAAAAUAUAAAAUUCAUGAAUUGGGACUCCCAAAUAAAUUUAGAGGUACAUAAAGGCUAAAAAUAAUUAACUUGUAGAAUUAUAUAUUAUUUUUAAAAAAAAAAUAAGUAGGGAAGUAGGCUUAUAUAUUUAACGAAACAAAUACGACUAUAGAAUGAGUCCUAAUAGUUAGGCCUAUUUUUAUACUCUUUACAUCACCCCUUUACAAAAAAAAUGUAUUGACUAUUCUUACUUUUUGGAUCAAACAUUUUAAUCUUUUAACAUGCUAUUUCAAAAUUUUAGAUAUGCCAACAAGUUCAAAUACAAGGUACAUAACAUAUAUAUGUCAUACACAUAAAAGGUAUAUAUUCUAUAUUUUCUCUACAUAACCUAUUAUUAUCUACUAUCUCUUUUACUAAUGUUAUUUAUUUUAUUUUAUAAUUUAUAAAUGCAUACACUUAAAUAUACAUGUUACUUUAUUACAUAUAAUCUAUCGCCAAUUUGUCUAUACAUGUAAAUAAAUAAUAAGUAUUCACAUGUUUUACACAACUUACAUGCAUAUACUACACUUUAUAAUAAACAUAUUUAAGAUCACAAACCUUUAUAUAAUAUUUUAACAUCUAGUAUCAUUUAUUUUAUUUUUUAGAAAACUCCAUUCUAUAUAUUUUCAUUCAAAUUACACAUCGCAUAUUACUACGUACUCACACCCAACUACUAUCUUAUUUUUAUUUCAUGUCUUAAAAAAAGAUGACAUAUUUUCAUAAAUUCAACAUCUAUAUUUUUUAGGAUAACCUUACUAUGUACUCUCCAAUAUAUAAGAAGGGAGAAUUAGCAUACCUUUUAAGUAUAUUUAUUUAUUUAUUUUACAAUAUGAUAAAAGUACUACUAUUAAAUCUAUUUUAUAAGACAUCUAUAUGUCAUACCGUCGUACCUUGUAUUUUACUCUUUUCUUAAACUAACCAACUAACUUAUCAUUUAAUUAUUAAAAGCAAAUAAAUAAACAAGUUUUCCUAAUCAUAUUUUUCUAAAUUGAGUUUAAGGACUAUCUUCGGAUAGGCUAUGGGGGGUGCUUAACACAUUCCCCUCGAGUAACCAAAACCCUUACCCAGAAUCUCACUGGUUUCGCAAAUCAAAACAGAGUUUACAUUUACAUAUUUUAAAAAAAUGGUUUUCCUAAUAUUUUCCUUAAAAUUUAGGUGGCGACUCAAAAAACAAAACAACAAUUUUUCCAAAAUCAGAGUGUCAGUUAUAUUAUGUUGUGAACUGUUUCGGCCAGUUCGAAAUAGGGUGUGACACCACUUUCAAGGACAUCUUCAUUGUUGCCUUUUGCUCUUCGCCACUAAUGAUUCUGAUUUGCUGGUAAAGUUUUUAUACGAUAUGUUUUAACUACCCUUGUGUUCUAUUAGUUUUAUACUAUUACUCCAUAUUAAGGGAAAUAUAUAAUUCUGAAAUUAAUCUAAAUAUAACAUAUUUUCUACAUAAAGAAACCAAAAUCACAUUUUAAUUAAUUGAAGGUUACAUGUAUUUAUUUAUAUGCAACAACAAUAACAGACCCACUGUAAUCCCAUAAGUAGGGUUUGAGAAGGAUAGUGUGUAUACAUACCUUACCCCUACCUUGAAAAGGUAGAGAGAUUGUUUUCAAUAGACCGUCAGUUGUAUAUAAUAUUUACCAUUAGGUCAGUCCUAAUACAUUGGGCCCUUUGUCUCACUUUAACCAAGGUAAUUUACAAGAACCACACUGGAGGUGGGUGGACUUGGACUUUUGACCUCACUUACCUAUUAGGAAGAACUUCAAGUUUAAGAGAUUUUGAACUUUGACCUUGAAGGUUUUCCCACGGGGCAAGUUGCAUCAAAAGUUCAAGACUAUUCAUUUUCAAGGUGUGUAUUUUCUUGCCAGAAUUGUCAUCAGACCCAACAGUUCCAACUUCCUUUAGCCAAGCCUAACCUGUUUUGUUGGUCGACUACCACAUCGCAAAAUAGAUCUCGCCAAUCAGCUGUAUUCCUUCGACUAUGGUCAUAUGCUUCCUGCAAAAUCUGGCGAAAGUUCGGGUGAUUUACAUGGAAAGGUGUGCCGAUGAUGUUGUGAAAUGAAGAUGUCCCAUCACCAGCUUCUGAAAGACGAAGGCCCCAGAAUAUGACUUUCUGAAUGUGCUGAUCAUCAGUGCCAUUAUUAAGAUUAUAUGACAUAACAUGCCCUACUCCAGCAAUGGAUGAUGGUCUCCACAAGGGUAUCAACCUCCUUUCCUCAAAAUUACUCCGAGGAUCUCGAAACUGGAGUUUUGGCAAUGUUAUUCCUGCUGUUGCAUAGACUGGAUGGACGCCACACUUUGUCACUUUUAACCCUAUGAAUCCUUGCUCUCUGAUACUGAACGAAAAUGUAAUUUGUUCUCCACCUUCUAAAGCAGGACAAAAGUAAUCUCGUGGUAUGAAGGUCACCCAAGAACGUUUGUCAGCGGUUACAGUAAUCUCGGGGAAGCCAAGGACCCAUGUAACUUUAUUGGUCUGAUCACCGACCUCUAGGACAGGACCAUAAUGAAAAUCUUCAUAGUGUAUGGACUCGUAGAUAGACCAAAGGAUCAUUCCCUGGAAGUUAUGUUCUAUGUUUGGUGGCAUUGUUAAGGUUAUAUUAGAUCCUAUGUUUCGGUUGCUGAACCAUUCUGGAACCUCGCUACCUGCAAUAUAGUAGCUGCUUGGAUAAGGAAGAUCUUUAUCACAUUCUCCCGUCUGCAUAAAAUAAAACAUAAAUGGUGUGAGUUGCACUUAAUUGUAGUAGUACAAAGAUGAGAUGAACAGAGGAACUAACUAACCAGCUGGAAGAAACUUUCAUCAAAGAAACGUCUUGCUAGCUUGCUACUGCUCUCUAUGCGAACAUAUUCAACAUUUUCGAUAGUUUCCAUGCCCUUAAUCUCGGACAAUCUGUCGCAAUUAGAUACAUAGAGCUCUGGCAGUAUACUGUAAUUGGACAUGUCUAGACUUUCAAUGGAUGAACAAUCAUUAGCAUGGAGCUUUAGCAGAUUAGAAGGAAGUAGUGAGAGCAUUUGAAGAUUCUUGCAAUUAUCCAGGACAAGAUACUGUAGCUGAGAUAGGUCGCAAAAGAGGGAUGAUGGGAGAGUGUAAAAAUCAUUUCCUCCUAAAUCCAGGUAUUUCAAUGAGGUUAAACACCCAAGAUUGGUGGGAACAUCUGCUUCUGAAAGCCUACAAUCGUUGAGAUUGAGCACCGUCAAGUGACUUAAACGGGAAAGGGAAUGUGGCAACAACCUCUCUGGACACGAUGAACUACUUCCUGCCCAUGGUACAUAAGAUAAAAUAGAAGUCAGCCAAGAUUGAGCCUUUAAACUUCUGUUGCAUCCUUGUAAUGAUAAGCUUCUUAGGUUUUUCAAGUGUCCCAAAUCAGCAGGCAGUUGUUGUAGACCCGAGCAACCUGACAUAUUUAGAUGUUGAAGUGAUUCUAGCUUGCAAAUGCUGCUUGGUAGAUUCUUGAGGCUUACACAGUCUUCCAGAUUUAAGUAAACAAGUUUCACCAAAUAUUUUAUUGAUGAAUCAAUCUCACCCAACUCGGAGCAACCUGUAAACAAUAUUGUCUCAAGACUUAUCGCCCUUGAAAAAUCAGGAGUCCGCUUUAGUCGUUGACAAUGACUGAGAUUUAGAUAUGCCAGGUUUUCCAGGGGCUGAUUCAUAGAAAUAAUAAUAUAUUCAUUAGUAUCUAUAGUUCGCUUAAUCUAAAAUUGUAUUAUAUCUAAACCUUGAAAAACUUAGAAUAAGGUUUUUUUAGCAAUAAACCUUGAUGGUGGAUUGCCAAACUUCCAUGAUGUUGCUAUAUUGCAUGUCCAGAGCCACAAGUUUGGUUAGAUGAAUAUCAGUAGGUAAACAUUUCAAAGGGAAAUUUUGCCAACUUAGCCAUCUUAGGUCCUCAAACAAAUUUUUGAAGCUUCCAGUAAAAUUCAUUCCUUUGCCUUGAAAUAUUUUCAACCUAUCCAUUCUUGCAAAGGACUUUGUGUCAACAGUUAAAUCUUUCACUUUGGGAUGGAUGGCGCUGAUGCCUUCUAUCAGAUUGCUACCCUGCCAUCAUAACAGUGCAGGAUACAUUGUUAUUCUUCUAUUUAUUCAGUUAUAAUUGCUUAUUUUGCUUUUCAAAGAGCUUAAAACAUCAUGUAAUGACAUUCUCUGUGUUUGGAAACGAUUUAGCUUUAAACUUCUCAUUUUACCCUUACUGGAAUGAUUUCAUAGUCACAUAAAUGUUAUUAAAUGUUUAAGACCACAAGUCUCAAGUCAUUUUUUUCUAAAAAUUCCUUGUGCACAGUCAAAUAUCAUCAUAUAAAUUGAAAUGGAGAGAAUUUCAAUAUAUGCACACACAUAUUCUAUACUCCAGAUCAACUAACAAAUGUAAGAGACAAUGGAAGGAAAGAUGUUUUUUUUUACCUUGUUCUUUCGUAGCACAUAAUUAACAUCUUCAUGAAACCACAAUCUAGAGCGCAUAUGAGGCUCUUUAAGUGACUCUUGACGAACAAUUUCUCUAGCCAUAUCUCGAACUAAAUCGUGCAUCCACAAACGAUUCUGUUUGAUUUUGAUUAAACAUCUUCCGGUCAAAAUUCCUUUCCCCAAGCUGAAAGAGCGACCACAACCGGUCAAUACAAGACUAGCAUAAAGUUCUUGGGCUUCAAUGAAAAAGCACGCGAUGUCACAGAAAAUCUCCUUAGAGUUCUCAUCAAGUGAGUCAUAGCUUACUUUGAGUGCUUUGUGAAUACUACUGUGAUGAGCAAGAUUUUUCAAGCUCUCGAGGGUACUUCUCCAUGUUUGAUCGUCCUUUUUAUGCAAAAGAGAGCCCAAAACUUCGAGUGCUAAAGGAACCCCUCCACCUAGACGUGCUAUGUCUUUCACCAACUCAUGAUCCAAAUUUUUGGGUACAGUAGUAUCCUUGAAAGCAUGAAAGCAAAAGAGUCGCCUGGAAGAGAUAUCAUCCAACCUUGUUACCUUGUACUUAUAGUCUACUCCAACAUCAUCUAGCAAAUUCUCACUUCUUGUUGUUAUAAUUAUUAUGCUCCCCGAACCAAACCAGCUUCUCUCUUCCGCCAAUGCUUUUAUCUGGCUCAUGUCAUCGACAUCAUCCAGAACAAUGAGGACCUUCUUCUGACCAAGUCUGUCUUUGAUUAUGCCUUUUCCCAUAUCAACAUUAUAUCGGAUUUCAAAGUUCUCUUUUUUUAGAACCUCAGAUAGAAGUUGUUCCUGUAAGUUGUGAAGCAUGUUAUUCUCCGAGCGCUCUCUUACAUGAGCCACAAAGGAGAAACCUUCAUACCUCCUGUGGAUUUGAUUGUAGACGGCUUUGGCAACAGUUGUUUUGCCUAUGCCAGCCAUCCCAUAGAUCCCAAACAUGCAGACACCAGUUGAUGAGUAGAACUUGCAUAGAGAAAUCACUCCUUCAGCAUGAGAAUUAGGCCCAAUUACGAGUCCUGGAAGGUGCAUGCAUGUGGGGUUUACUAACUUUAAGACCUCUUCCACAAGUUUCUUGUUGAAUUUUGCUUCAUGCCUGGAAAAUCAAACUCAAGACAAAUUAGUCUAAAGUCUAACCAAGAUGAGAAAAAGGUAUUUAUUUAUCUUAUAUAAACUAGAUUGUAUUUGUCUAUCUUACUUUCUAGGUCAAUUUUCUAUAUUAUAACAAAGCAAGCAUGUCAAAAUGCUAAUUGUUGAACGACAGAAAUAUUCCUGAAAUGUUGAACAACUUUUAUACCCUUCGUAAACUAUAUUUUCCUUCAAAGAAGCAAAAUACGUGCGGGAUAAAUUGUAAUAUUUAAAAUAUCAAUCAAUAUUAACUACAACUUUAAUUCAACUAAGCUAGAUAAAUUUGGUGAAGUAUAAUUCAUUGUGGACUUAAUUUGACGUUCUAAUCACUAAAGGGGUUUUUUGGUAUUUGGUUAGAGUUAUGCAGGUAUAGAAAUGAAGGGAUUAAUUAUGAGUGAAUAUAUGUACUCCUUCCGUUUCACAAAGAAUGAUCUGGUUUGACUUGGCACGGAGUUUAAGUAAAUAAAGAAGACUUUUGAAUCUUGUGGUCCUAAAUUAAAGUUAUGUCAAAUGUACAAAAUUACCCUUAAUCUUAUGGUCUUAAACAUGCCACGUGGAAAACAAAAAGUAAAAUGUUACCAAAAAAGGAAAGAGGUCAUUCUUUUUUAAACUGACUAAAAAAGAAAGGAUGUCAUUUUUUGUGAAACGAAGGGAGUAUUAUUUUAUGCAGGUAUUAGUUAUGCAAUUAUUAAUUAUUCAUUUAUUAGUCAUACAUAUAUUAAUUAUUCCAUCUUUUUGUCCUGCAUAAAUAUUACUCCCUCCGUUUCAAAAAGAUUGGUCUGGUUUGACUUAGCACGAAGUUUAAGAAAUUAAAGAAGACUUUUGAAUCUUGUGGUCUUAAAUUAAAGUUAUGUUAAAUGUACAAAAUUGUCCUUAAUCUUGUGGUCUUAAACAUGCCACGUGGAAAGCAGAAAGUAAAAUGUUACCAAAAAAGGAAAGAGGUCAUUUUUUUGAAACUGACUAAAAAGGAAAGGAGGUCAUUCUUUGUGAAACGGAGGGAGUAUAUAGAUUUCCUCAUAACUUAUACAUGUAUUAGUUAUGCGGGUUUCUAAAUUGUCAACAAACGGCGUAUUAAUUUUAUACAUGAAUAGGUUAUUUCCUAUCUAUCAACCAAACGUUGUAUUUACGAAAAUUAAUAUAUGUAUAACUUGUUUCUUAUCCCGCUACCAAACGACCCAUACGUUAACUUUUAUUAAUACAUAAUGAGGUAUUAUAGUAGAGAGGGAUUACUUGGAAAGAGGUAAAUUAGGAUUGGGAAUAAAAUUAGAUAUGCCUCCUAGACCAUUACAAUUUCACAUUGGAUAAUAAUAUAAAAGAACUAUGAAAUCCAUUGGAUGAUAUUUUUAUUCCACAGAAAAGGGUAUCUUGUGUUCCAAUAGAAGCAAAAGUGAUGUGGAUUAUUCAAGUGUCGAAGUCGAUUUGCUUUAUAAAAAGAAGAUAAGAGGACCGCUAUUUUGGUUCAGAAGAGAAAGUUUCUCAGGAACACUAUAAUCAACUAUAAAUUUGAUAUCCGAAUUGUGUCAGCAUGAUAACUCUUGAGUUACAUUCACACUAUAUGUUUGUUGUAUUGUUUUUCUAUUCAUACAGGUUUAGUCUUCUGUUUCUUUUUUAUGGUGAUUGACCAUUGAAGAUUAGUGACUAAAGAAAGAUGAUCUUGUCUGAUUAUCCAUCACAGAAGUGAAUUGGUAAUGUUUUCCUUUUCUUUUCACUUGAGAAUAUUUCGUAUGAGUAUAGUGAUAACUGAUAAUGAUCUAUAUGUUCUUUUUUCUUAAUGUUGUAUUGUGUUAAAAGUCUACUAUCUUUAGAUAUAAAAUUUAUAGUAGUUGUAGGGGUGUGAAAUAGAGACUUUUUUUUUUAUGACAGUGGUGUCUAGGCUAGCUUUCAUUCACCUCGACUAAUUACAUGAGAUAUCUGCCACCUCCCACCAACAACAGGUACCAUGGGACGGAGACUAGUUCUACUUACUAUCGGCUGUCUGUAGUUCACUUUUAGGUGACUAGAUAGUUUUUAAAGUUUCUUGUGAGCUACCAGUAUAGAAAAGUUAAAAAGUCAAGUUUGAGGAAGUUAGAGUACCCGUCCUCGACGUUCUGCAAAUCCCGUCCCGAUAAAUUUGCAGCUUCUUUGACAGCGGCUUUCCACCUUGCUACCUUCUCCUUCCCAAAACGUUUUUUGUGUUUAGAAAGUGCUUUAUCAAAUGUACCGGCUUGUCUACGUACCUCAGAAGGAUUAACGUCGUAGAAUAUAGGAAUAACUAGCUGACCAUGCUGCUCUCUGCACUCGAGUAUCUUCAAAAGCUCAUCGAGACACCAGCUAGACGAUGCAUAAUUUUUUGAGAAAAUAACAAUGGAGAUCAUGGAAUCUUCUAUAGCUUGAAUCAGUUCAGAUCUGAUUUCUGUGCCUUUUCUGAGCUCCUCAUCGUCUCUAAAUGUAUUAACUCCAGCUUGCACCAAAUUUGAAUAGAGGUGGUCCGUAAAAGUUUUACGUGUGUCUUCCCCUCUAAAACUCAAAAAAACAUGAUAUUUAUGGGAUGAAGAUGGAGGUGGAGGCAUGGAGGAUGAGGGAAUUAUAAUACUAUUAGUAGCCAUAGACACAAAUUUUAGUAUUAGAUGAAAUUGAAGAAAGAGUUAAUCUAUGGUGAGUGGUGACCAAAGGAAUCCACGACAUGGCAUUAUAUAGAGGCAGAGGCCUUCCAUAUACUUCCCUACGGACCUUAAUUUCUAUAAGAAUUCCACAAAUUAUGUCUUGAUAUCCAUACAGCACUCGCCACACAGGCUAGAGUGGCACAUAUUUAGCUAACCUCCCCCUCCUAAAAUCACUUGUUGGAUAUUCUGAGUGUUUAAAGUCAGCUGUUUCAAUUCAUGUAUCAUAUUUUCCUUUAUUUCUUCAGAGAAAGUGACUCUUCUUGGAUAAAUUCCACAAAAGGAUCGUCAUCAUCUCCUUUAUAAUUUGCGACUAGCGGGUGCACAACUUGUCAAUAUUUCAGACCAAAAAAGUCUCUAGCUUUCAACUAAUUUUGAUAUUUAAUAAUGUCCGCUAUGAAACGGUCCUUCUAGGUCACCUCAAGGCUUUUUGACCUCAUGGUUUUGUCCACUAAGGUGGCUGGCUUUAACUUAAAAAACGCCUCAACAUUUGAAAAUUUCGACGCGCAAUUAUAGGUGAUUUUUAUAUUACACAACAAAGUUGAUUUACGUACUUUGUGAGAUAAUUAUUUUUAGUGGAGUAUUUUUAUGUUAUAAAACAAAUGUAUAAGUGAUUUUUUGAGAUAAAAAUUAUUCGUUGAUAGAUGAUUGUCUGAAAGAUCAACUCCGACGAAUAUCACCAGUUUGACAUCUAAUAUACUUACAUAGCAAGAAAAUAAUAAUAUAGAACUUUAUAUAUAGUGUAAUUUUUUGACGAUAAACUUUUUAGCUUUGUUCCUACGUUGAAUAUUAAUAAGUUUAGAUUCUUUCAACAGAUAAUUAACUAACCAAUUUUGGAAUUUUGUAAAAUGGAAGAAAGUGUGGAAUUUAGAAUUACGAAAGAGGAAUUUAAAUAAAUCUUAGGUCGCCACGGCUGACCAUGAUCAUAAUUAGUCCAAGCUUCAGAAAUUGCAGCGUACGUGCAUAUUUUUUUUUAAAAAAAAAUAGUAAUAAAAAAUCACUAGAAUCAAUGACGGACAAACGUAUUUGAAGUUUAUAUAUUUCUACAAUUAUCUCAAAUUAAUAUUAUAAUAAUAAAUGGUUCAUAUAGUUAAAUAUUUAUAGAUAUUUUCUAUUAUUUAGAUUUCCUAUACAUAUAUAUAAGUAACGAUAAAAGUUACUAUUGAAUUUACGUGAACUAACUUGUAAGUCGCAACUAAGUCUUUAGAGAUUUGCUUGUUGUGUGAGGUAGACCGACCACUAUAAUGUGAUACAAGAAAUUUUCUUUUUUCCACAAUUUGAAUCUAAUAAUUUUAAUUAUGAAGAAGAAAGAAAUUACCUAGUACAAGGAGCCAUUAAAUAUGUGUAAAAAAAGACUUUGAAUUUGUCUUAGAUUCCCUACAAAUUAAGAUCGUUAUUUUGGAACUUAGUUGGUUAAUUAUAUUUUUUUAUAUUGUUUUGUUGUAAGAAUUUUUUUCUUAGUAAAAGAAUGAGUCUUGGAAUGAGGAAAUUAAAUGGGAAACUUACUUGUGUUAGUUAAUACUCCAUAGUGGAACACAAGCACAUACUUAUAGGUUUGAUUGAAUUUGAGUGAAAUUUAAUUUGAAUAAGUAAUUUAAAUUUUUAUGUAUAAUCUUACCAAAUGAAUAAAUUAGAGUUCAUAAAUAAGAAAAAGAUGCAUUUUAAGGUGAUGCAUUAAUAAAUUGCAUGUCCACAUAUUCUUUUGUGAAUAGAUAAUGAUUGUGACUAAAUGUUCUAACAUAUUUUUUAAUUCACAAAAAAUUAUAAAGAUUUACUCGAUUGUAAAAUAAUUAAUUUAAUAAUUGUUGUAACUAUUAACUGGCUAUCGAUAUAAUUCUCCUACGAAAUACGUACGAACAAUCCCUUCACUAAAAUGAUGAGUCGUUGUUUGUAAAUAUAAAUAUAUACGUCAAGUUUUUCCGUUUUAAAUAGUAAAUGAAAUCAUAACUAGGAAUUUAAAUUCCUGCUCUUUCAAAAAUUUGAAAUUUCAAAUCACCAUAUGAAACUGAAUUUGAAGUUAUGUUCACAUUUCAUAAACACAUGCAUUGAUUUCGAAUAAAAACUUCAAAUUUUGAGCUUCAAUCUUAUGGUCAAAUGUCUACCUAAAUUGAUACCCCCACCCCCUAUAUAUAUAUCAUAUAAUAAGAAUCAGAGCUAGAGUUAUAAGUAAUGAUUUAACACAAUCCAAUAGUUUUGAUCAAAAUCAUUUGUUUGUGUGACUAAAUAUAUUGAAAAGGCAUAAUACAUAAAUAUGCUCCUUUAACUUGGGCUUAUUUUAUAUUUAUGUCUUCCAACUUUGUAUGUACAUAAGGAAACACUUGAAUUUGUAUAAAGUUAAACAAAUAGACGCAUACAUCAUACUUGACAUCCUACAUGUCCUAUAUGUAUUAUGUCACAUAGGAUUACUCGUGUGUCUACUUGUUCAACUUUAUACAAAUUUAAGUGUCUACCUGUGCAAACCUAAAAUUGAAGGGCAUAAAUGUGAAAUGAGCCUAAAUUAAAAGACACAAUUAUAUAUUAAUCAUGUUAAAAAUGUGUAAAUAAUUUAUCUAGAAUCUAAAAAGUCGCCUUUAUUUUCUAAAAUCGAAAACUCAUAAAUUUAAAAUUCUAAAUUUUCCUCUACUUUUGAUUGACCUCCAACGUAACGUGCUACCUUAUAUAAUGCUAAGAAUUAAGAUUAUCAAUCAUGAUUAUGAAUGAAUUUAAUUAGCCGUCUAUGAAAAUUAUUAAAUAUUAUUCAACAAAUUAAUUACUUCUUUUAGAUUUUUACAAGUGAUUUUUUGUUAGACAUCAUAAUCCAUAUGAUAGACUUGUUAAGUUAAACUACUAAUAAAAUAAUUUAUACAGGUUCCUACUGGUGGAUCUAAACCCGCUGGAUCUUAAUUAAUCAUAAAAAUUUAUCUCAACUAAAGAUUUUUUUUUCUCCUAAAAAAUUAUUGUACAUGUAAGUUAUUCAUUGAUAAUAUUAUAUUAAAAUAAAUUAGAGGGUAGGUAGUUAAUUGUAAAUAUGGAAAAGGCUCAAAUAUAUCAUUAGAUUUUGAGGGGAAAAAAUCAUUUAUGUUAUCUGUUAGAAGUUUGGUUCAUCCAUGUUAUUUUCAUUUGAGAAAAGUCUCCAUUCACAUCAUUAUUUGUUAAUAGAAAACAAUUUCGAAUUUGCUAAACUAUUUUCGACACAUGAUCAAUUAUAAUUCGGCCAUGUCAUUAAUUAUAUUAUUUUUAAAGAAAAAAGGACUCAAAUAUACCAUCAAACUUUGAGAAAGACUCAUUUAUUCCAUAUGUUACAAGUUAGGCUUAUCAAUGUCAUUUCAGUAAACAAAUAAUGGUUGGUGCAUGUUUCUUGGAGAGUCAUUGAUAUCUUGGAAGAGUAAAAAGCAAGAUCGUGUGUCAAAAUCUUCAACAGAGGCUGAAUAUCGAUCCAUGUCUUCUGCUUGCUCCGAGGUUGUAUGGCUUCGUGGAUUACUUGCUGAGAUUGGAUUUCCCCAAUCUCAUCCUAGUCCUCUCCACGCUGACAAUACAAGUGUUAUUCAGAUUGCUACUAAUCCAGUUUUUCAUGAGAGGACCAAACACAUCGAAGUGGAUUGUCAUUAUAUACAAGAAGCUGUAGAUAAAGGAGUCAUUACUCUUCCACAUGUGUCCAGUGAUCUUCAAAUAGCUGAUGCGUUUACAAAAUCCAUGGCACGGCAACGCCAUCAGUUUCUAGUAGGCAAAUUGAUGCUUCUUGAUCCACCAGCAUCAAUUUGAGGGGGGAUGUUAGCAUGAUAGACAACUAAAUGAUUGUAUAUAUUAAUGUAAUUAUAUAGCUAGUGAUAUAAAUUAGCAUGUUCAUAUACAUUUGUUGUAGAAUCAUAUGAAUAAAUAUUGUGAUAGAAUAGCUGAUUUGGAGGAAUAGCAAGGCAGAUUUAGAGGGAUUCAAUGGCAGAUUUGUAUAGAUAGAAUAGCUGAUCUUUAGGGAUAGGAAUGGCGGAUCUUUAGGGAUGUGUAAUCUUUAUUUUCUCUAUAUAAUGGAAAGACUCUCUCACUUUGAGAGGCAGCUGAAAAUUGACACUUUGACAGCGGCUUUCCACCUUGCUACCUUCUCCUUCCCAAAACGUUUUUUGUGUUUAGCAAGUGCUUUACCAAAUGUACCGGCUUGUCUACGUACCUCAGAAGGAUUAACGUCGUAGAAUAUAGGAAUAACUAGCUGACCAUGCUGCUCUCUGCACUCGAGUAUCUUCAAAAGCUCAUCGAGACACCAGCUAGACGAUGCAUAAUUUUUUGAGAAAAUAACAAUGGAAUCUUCUAUAGCUUGAAUCAGUUCAGAUCUGAUUUAUGUGCCUUUUCUGAGCUCCUCAUCGUCUCUAAAUGUAUUAACUCCAGCUUGCACCAAAUUUGAAUAGAGGUGGUCCGUAAAAGUUUUACGUGUGUCUUCCCCUCUAAAACUCAAAAAAACAUGAUAUUUAUGGGAUGAAGAUGAAGGUGGAGGCAUGGAGGAUGAGGGAAUUAUAAUACUAUUAGUAGCCAUAGACACAAUUUUAGUAUUAGAUGAAAUUGAAGAAAGAGUUAAUCUAUGGUGAGUGGUGAACAAAGGAAUCGACGACAUGGCAUUAUAUAGAGGCAGAGGCCUUCCAUAUACUUCCCUACGUACCUUAAUUUCUAUAAGAAUUCCACAAAUUAUGUCUUGAUAGCCAUACAGCACUCGCCACGCAGGCUAGAGUGGCACAUAUUUAGCUAACCUCCCCCUCCUAAAAUCACUUGUUGGAUAUUCUGAGUGUUUAAAGUCAGCUGUUUCAAUUCAUGUAUCAUAUUUUCCUUUAUUUUCUGUCACAGGAAGAAUGCCAUGCUUCCUAAUUUAGAAAUAAUUCUACUUUAACUUCUCCUUUUACACUUCAUGGAAUGAUUUAUCUUCAAUCAGAUGUCUACGACUUAUUUACUUGUUUAAUACGAUAAAUUUCAAGAGUUUUUUUUUUCCCACAAGUUUUACUUUUGAUGUACGUUAGGUGUACAUUGUAUAUACUUUUUUUGGUAUGGGGAGAGUGCUCUUCCUCAUUUACUUUGAUAGUCUCUUUGUAAAUGAUGGGAGUUCCUCUAUAUAUAUUUGACUAGAUAAUGUUGCCGUGCUAUGCACGGGCCCAAUAAUAUAAAUGGUAUGUUUUGGGGCUAAUAACCGAGUUUUUGAAGCGAUUGUUUGCGUGGAUAAAGGAAAACGUUUUUUUAUCACAAACAUGUACUUUCUUUGACGCUAUCCACCCCCCACCCCCUCCCUAAAACACCAUGACACAAAUUAAGACAGAGGGAGUAAUAAAUUUGGUCAGAACUUCAGAGAAAGUGACUCUUCUUGGAUAAAUUCCACAAAAGGAUCGUCAUCAUCUCCUUUAUAAUUUGCGACUAGCGGGUGCACAACUUGUCAAUAUUUCAGACCAAAAAAGUCUCUAGCUUUCAACUAAUUUUGAUAUUUAAUAAUGUCCUUCUAGGUCACCUCGUGGUUUUGUCCACUAAGGUGGCUGGCUUUAACUUAAAAAACGCUUCAACAUUUGAAAAUUUAGACGCGCCCUUAUAUGGCUCCCCCUAACUUUUCCUCCAUUUCGAUAGGCAAGUUUCACAGCAAACUCUCUUUUGAUUUUUGACUGUUAGCGGUAUAGAUCAAAGAUGUAUAAGUUAGGGGAAUAGAAAAAUAGAUCUCAGUUAAGUGUAGGGGCGGAGCUAACUAGCCCUCUCGUUAAGGGUUUGGCCGAACUCAGAAGUUUUACCAAACUAUAUGUGUGUGUAUGUGUGAAAAUGAUGAUUUGAUUUAUUUAAAUAUUUUCAGUUGCAGAUAAAAAUGUCGUCAUAGAAGUGUACUUUUGCAUGACCAAGUCAAGGUUCAAGUGGCUUCCUUCAGUACCCAAGAGUUGACAUUGGGGUAAAAACUUAUUCGCGCUCGAUGAUAUAUGUUUAUUUUACCGGGACGAAUCACUUUUUUUAUAUUUUAAAAAUAUUACUUAAUUUAUUUUUUUCACAUCAGCAAUAUCUAUUGGAAUUAUCGUCUGAAUCGAUUGAGUAAUUUUUUUUUGUUCAAAUAACAAUAACUAUGUGAUUUUUAUAUUACACAACAAAGUUGAUUUACGUACUUUGUGAGAUAAUUAUUUUUAGUGGAGUAUUUUUAUGUUAUAAAACAAAUGUAUAAGUGAUUUUUUGAGAUAAAAAUUAUUCGUUGAUAGAUGAUUGUCUGAAAGAUCAACUCCGACGAAUAUCACCAGUUUGACAUCUAAUAUACUUACAUAGCAAGAAAAUAAUAAUAUAUAACUUUAUAUAUAGUGUAAUUUUCUGACGAUAAACUUUUUAGUUCCGUUACUAUGUUGAAUGUUAAUAAGUUUAGAUUCUUUCAACAGAUAAUUAACUAACCAAUUUUGGAAUUUUGUAAAAAGGAAGAAAGUAUGGAAUUUAGAAUUACGAAAGAGGAAUUUAAAUAAAUCUUAGGUCGCCACGGCUGACCAUGAUCAUAAUUAGUCCAAGCUUCAGAAAUUGCAGCGUACGUGCAUAUUUUUUAAAAGAAUAAUAGUAAUAAAAAAUCACUAGAAUCAAUGACGGACAAACGUAUUUGAAGUUUUUAUAUUUCUACAAUUAUCUCAAAUUAAUAUUAUAAUAAUAAAUGGUUCAUAUAGUUAAAUAUUUAUAGAUAUUUUCUAUUAUUUAGAUUUCCUAUACAUAUAUAUAAGUAACGAUAAAAGUUACUAUUGAAUUUACGUGAACUAACUUGUAAGUCGCAACUAAGUUUUUAGAGAUUUGCUUGUUGUGUGAGGUAGAUCGACCACUAUAAUGUGAUACAAUAAAUUUUCUUUUUUCCAGAAUUCGAAUCUAAUAAUUUUAAUUAUGAAGAAGAAAAAAAUUACCUAGUACAAGGAGCCAUUAAAUAUGUGUAAAAAAAGACUUUGAAUUUGACUUAGAUUCCCUACAAAUUAAGAUCGUUAUUUUGGAACUUAGUUGGUUAAUUAUAUUUUUUUAUAUUGUUUUGUUGUAAGAAUUUUUUUCUUAGUAAAAGAAUGAGUCUUGGAAUGAGGAAAUUAAAUGGGAAACUUACUUGUGUUAUUUAAUACUCCAUAGUCGAACACAAGCACAUACUUAUAGGUUUGAUUGAAUUUGUGUGGAAUUUAAUUUGAAUAUGUAAUUUAAAUUUUUAAGUAUAAUCUUACCAAAUGAAUAAGUUAGAGUUCAUAAAUAAGAAAAAGAUGCAUUUUAAGGUGAUGCAUUAAUAAAUUGCAUAUUCACAUAUUUUUUUUGUAAAUAAAUAAUGAUUGUGACUAAAUGUUCUUACAUAUUUUUUUGAAUUCACAAAAAUUUAUAAAGAUUUACUCGAUUUUCGAAUAAUUUAAUAAUAGUUGUAACUAUUAACUAGCUAACGAUAUAAUUCUCCUACGAAAUACGUACGAACAAUCGCUUCACUAAAAUGAUGAGUCGUUGUUUGUAAAUAUAAACAUAUACGUCAAGUUUUUCCGUUUUAAAAAGUAAAUGAAAUCAUAACUAGGAAUUUAAAAUCCUGCUCUUUCAAAAAUUUGAAAUUUCAAAUCACCAUAUGAAACUGAAUUUGAAGUUAUGUUCACAUUUCAUAAACACAUGCAUUGAUCUCGAAUAAAAACUUCAAAUUUUGAGCUUCAAUCUUAUGGUCAAAUGUCUACUUAAAUUGAUACCCCACCCCUAUAUAUUGAUAUAGAUAUUUAUAUUAUGUAUUAUUUAUAUAUUAGAAGAGAGAGUUUCACAGACUGUUUAUUGGUCAUUCAAUUGGCAAGUGGGGAUAUUUUUGUCAUUCCAACUUCUCAAAGUGAUAAGUAUUGCAUAGAAAAAAUUGUACUAUGGGCCUUAUUAUUUGGACUUUCUUAACAUCUUUAGAAAAAACCCUACACUUUUCUACUAAAUUACAUAUUAUGCCUUCUAUCAUUGAGUAUAGUGGGGUCCAUUUAAUUUUACAAUUGACACCUAUACAAUGAUAACUUUAUUGAGUUUCUAUAUAUUUCCAUUUUUAUUCUCUACAUAUUAAAUUGUUUAAAUUUAAUAUAGUUAAAUAAUUUAAUAAAAUUUAAUUAUUUAGCUUUUAUAUUCAAAACAAAUUAUUUUUUAAUAUUAUAUAUAUCAUUAAAUAACUAUAUAAGAUUAUUAAUAGUCAUAUUUNNNNNNNNNNNNNNNNNNNNNNNNNNNNNNNNNNNNNNNNNNNNNNNNNNNNNNNNNNNNNNNNNNNNNNNNNNNNNNNNNNNNNNNNNNNNNNNNNNNNNNNNNNNNNNNNNNNNNNNNNNNNNNNNNNNNNNNNNNNNNNNNNNNNNNNNNNNNNNNNNNNNNNNNNNNNNNNNNNNNNNNNNNNNNNNNNNNNNNNNNNNNNNNNNNNNNNNNNNNNNNNNNNNNNNNNNNNNNNNNNNNNNNNNNNNNNNNNNNNNNNNNNNNNNNNNNNNNNNNNNNNNNNNNNNNNNNNNNNNNNNNNNNNNNNNNNNNNNNNNNNNNNNNNNNNNNNNNNNNNNNNNNNNNNNNNNNNNNNNNNNNNNNNNNNNNNNNNNNNNNNNNNNNNNNNNNNNNNNNNNNNNNNNNNNNNNNNNNNNNNNNNNNNNNNNNNNNNNNNNNNNNNNNNNNNNNNNNNNNNNNNNNNNNNNNNNNNNNNNNNNNNNNNNNNNNNNNNNNNNNNNNNNNNNNNNNNNNNNNNNNNNNNNNNNNNNNNNNNNNNNNNNNNNNNNNNNNNNNNNNNNNNNNNNNNNNNNNNNNNNNNNNNNNNNNNNNNNNNNNNNNNNNNNNNNNNNNNNNNNNNNNNNNNNNNNNNNNNNNNNNNNNNNNNNNNNNNNNNNNNNNNNNNNNNNNNNNNNNNNNNNNNNNNNNNNNNNNNNNNNNNNNNNNNNNNNNNNNNNNNNNNNNNNNNNNNNNNNNNNNNNNNNNNNNNNNNNNNNNNNNNNNNNNNNNNNNNNNNNNNNNNNNNNNNNNNNNNNNNNNNNNNNNNNNNNNNNNNNNNNNNNNNNNNNNNNNNNNNNNNNNNNNNNNNNNNNNNNNNNNNNNNNNNNNNNNNNNNNNNNNNNNNNNNNNNNNNNNNNNNNNNNNNNNNNNNNNNNNNNNNNNNNNNNNNNNNNNNNNNNNNNNNNNNNNNNNNNNNNNNNNNNNNNNNNNNNNNNNNNNNNNNNNNNNNNNNNNNNNNNNNNNNNNNNNNNNNNNNNNNNNNNNNNNNNNNNNNNNNNNNNNNNNNNNNNNNNNNNNNNNNNNNNNNNNNNNNNNNNNNNNNNNNNNNNNNNNNNNNNNNNNNNNNNNNNNNNNNNNNNNNNNNNNNNNUGUAGUUGUGCAUGGUUGAUAAUUUGUUGCAUUUACUUAUAUUACUAGCAGUGAAAGUAGUUUGAUUAUUGUGAUCAAUAUACUGCCUUAGAGCUCAUAUAGUUUUUCAGAGUAUUAUGAUAUAUGAGCUACUUGAAUUGUGUAAAACAACUGCGUUUGUCCUUUUCAUUUAUUAAUUGAUGCAUUGGAGGUAGUUUGGAGAUAGUUCUCUGUACAGUCAAUCACUUCUUAGUUUACCAAUAAAGAGCUGAAUGAUGAAUGAACUUCAAGUCAAAGUAGUGUCAGUCUACGGUCAUUUUCCUAGAUGAACCACAAGUAGAUUUGUGCUUGUGUUUUCUUUGUGAACUUAAAGAAUAAACUCGAUUGACAACUUUACUUGUAUUUGUGUUUAUGAAUUUGUCUCUGCUUUGACCGACCUCAGAAACAAUAGCUAUCUACUGUCACGACCCGGGAGCACCCCCAUGUCGUAAUAAGGCGUACUCGACCCCAAAGGGGUCUUAUACAAACCACAUAGUCAUUCAUUGCAUUCAUUAAUGAAAAUAGUGCGGAAUGAAAAGCUUAUUUACAUCCACACCUUCAAACUUCAUUAAAACAAGUUUAAAAACACACAGCGGAAGUCUAAGUCUCACAUGGCCAUCUUAGACACAAUCACAAAACAUAAGUAGGGACACNNNNNNNNNNNNNNNNNNNNNNNNNNNNNNNNAAAAACUUAAUAAAUAUUAUAAAGAUAAUUUUAUUUGUGGAUUUGAUUAACAAGUAAUAACACUAACACCAUAUAAUAUUGUCUUGUCAAUAUUUAUGAUAAUAUUUUUAAAUUAUAAUUUAAUUAAAAAAAUUAUAAAAAAUAUACUUUUAAGAAAAGAGGGCUGGCCUGGCAAGCCCGUAGCCCACGUACUUGUGGGCUGGGCCAACUAUUUUCUGGCCCACACAAAAAAUGGGCUAGCCCGGCUUGACCUGUCAAAUUUCAAAGCCUGUAUGGGUUAGCCCGGAUGGGAUGGGCUAGCCCAUAUUGACACCUCUAGCUCUCGUAUUCAAAUUGUCAGUAGAAAGAAACUUAAUUAAGUCUUUUACUAUUUUAUGAUUCAUAGUUUUAGUAUCUUGUUUUUUUUUUUUUUUUAAUUUAUAGGUUUAUGUAAUUUUCUAGUUUCUCUGCUAUAGUUCAAAAUUUAAUUUACUUACUCAUAAGAGACUACUUAGAGCUUUUUAUAACUAUCUCAAGAUAAAAAUAUGAAAGGAGGUUAUAUAGAGCUUCAGUACUACUAUAUUUUAAGGUAUUAGAUUUCAUUUCCUAAAAAGGAUGCAAAUGAUAUUGAAAAUUUACAGAUUUAAUUUCGUAGAUAUAUAGAAAAGUUUUACUAGCAAAUUAGCUUCAUCGGGAGUAUUUUAUUCAAGUCUGAUGAGUUCAGAAGUAAUUUUGAGGUUCUUCAUUUUCUUUUGUUUCUCUUUUCUUUUAUCAUCACUACAUUUUCAGUUAAAAUUAACUCUUUGUUUGAACCUUUUUCAAGUACAAUUUGAAGUUUCUAUUGUACUUGAAGGAGAGCUUAGGACACCUUAGACUCAGUUUGGAUGGUUGUUACCUGUUGUUUCAUAUUAUAUAGUAUUGUGUUGUAUUGUAUUGUAUUAUUUUAAAGAAUACAAUAUUUAGAUAAAAUGUUUUAUUUUUGUCGUUACAUAGUGUCACACGUCUGCAAUUUGUAGGGGUAUUGGAUUGAACUAUCAUAAAAAGGUAAGAUAAAUGAUAAAAUUAGAUUAUUAAAUAGUAAGUAAAAAUGAGAAAAAGACAAGGUAACAACACGAUCACACCAAAUUGUUGUUACACAAAAUUAGGCUUUUGUCGUUACGUAAUGAUAAAUUUAUUGAUAUAAUACAAUAAAAUUUAAGUAAUACUCUAAAUAAAUGUAUUUAAACUAACAACACAUUACAAUACAAUAGGUAACAACCAUCCAAACAAGAUGUAACCUUAUAUUGUUCUAUCCUUUAUGUUAAGGGUGACUGUACAAUGUCUGUGGAGGCCACAUGCCCACACAAUACAAACUAAGGGGAAUUACGGCAAGGUAAAUAACUGUCAAAGUUUCAAGAGUAACUAAAUUUGUAGUUACACAAUUGAGGGGAAAUGGCAAUUAGAUUUAUGCCGAGCAGUAAUCUAAAUUAGCAAAGGAAACUAUCUAAUUCUUCAAUCUAAACACUAAUUAAUUUUUACCAAGAAAAUCCAUAAUACACUAUCAUAAAAAACCAUGAUUUCCUCCUGAGAAUUAAUUAUCUCUUGUUAGAAUAGAACUUUGAAUUGAGGAUCGCAACAAUCUAAACACAUUGAAAUAUCAAUAUAAACAGUUUGAAAAAUCUAUUUUUCUCCCUAUGUUCAGUGAUAACAUUAAGUUGAAAAUUAAACUCAAAAGAAAGACAAAAACAAAAAUUACUUUCAAUGUCACAUCUAGUACUCAGAUGCAACAAACUGUGGAAAACGUUUCUCACAAGCAUUGAAAUUUUUCUCAAGAUUCAGUUUUUCAUGUUUGUCAUAUUAUCUCAUAUUUAGUUAUCUGUGCUAUGCUUUCCAUAUUACUUGUUGUAUAUACUUGCUGUAACACCCCAGAAUUUUUUUCAGCAAAGACUUGAACCAUGCUUCGUUGUGAGUAGGAUUUUACCAAGAAAUUUAAAAUUUCUUAUGUAUUUGAGAGGAGUUGGGUUUCUUUUUAAUUCUAAUUGGAGUGACUUAAAUGGAAGAAUUUUAGUCUAAAAGGGUUUUAUAAUUGCUAGGAAAUGUAAUGAAUAAAAGGGACUCAACUUAGGAAAAGAAUUAAGGACCCACAAAGUUAAACUUAAAAGUUUUCACUAAACCCGUCUAAGUUCGUCCUCUUAGACAAUGCUUCACUAUUUUGGGAAUAACUUUUUACUCCGAGAUCGGAAAAGGGCAAACUCGGUGGCGUUGGAAAGAGGACUCAGAUACCUUUAAUUGGAUAGGUAAUGGUCCACCUAAUUCGUUUUGAGCUAAAAGAUAUCAUCAUUUGAAGUUGACCCUAAAAGUCGUAACUUUAAAAAAUCUCCCCCUUGCCCGUCUGUUCCAGUGGGAUUACUCAAAGGCUGGUCAACUGGGCAGUCCACUAGGCUAGCUCGCUAGCCUAGGUCCUUGCUUGCACCCUAGGAUGCUACCUAGCUCCAUUUAAGUUCUAAAACAGCAUAAACAUCAACCUAAGCCCCCACUAACCCAAACGUCAAGGCUCAAGUUCAUUUUAUCAUUUUCCGAGUCGUUACAUCUACCUAGACUUAUCAGCCUUGCACUUGGUUCUUAAGUCAUUAUAUUGAAGUAAUUGUACACUUGCUUUCAUGUAUGUACAUACCCCCUAUUUCAAGCAACUGUGAUUUUGAUUCUUUUUCCAAUCUUGUAAUUUAUGAAUAAUAUUUUUUCUUCUUCUCCCAUAUGUAUCAUGUCUUAAUCUUUUGAUCAAAGAUCAAAACAACUCAAUCUGCAUCUACAACUAACUUUCUAUACAAUGUAUCACAUUUUUGUUAUUAUGUAAAAUAAGUGUACAUAACUAUCUUGUAAAACUUAGUUCCUUAAAAUAUCAACAAACGAUUAAUAUGCAAGGUCAUCUUACGCUACAUACUUGUAAUCCAACUUUUAAUUGAUAUCAAGUUAUGAUAUUUAUUAUAGAAAUCAUUUUCUCAUUUCAAAAGAGAAAAAAAACUUAUUUUCUAGAGGAAAGAUGUUGCAAAAAUUUUAGCUCAUCAAAUAUAGAAAAUUAACAUUUUACAGAACACACCGAUAGAUUCAUCAAAUUUUUUUCUCCAAUUUCACAUAAAAACAAAUUUAACACAAAAAAAGGAAUAUUACAUAAUAAUAUUGGGCCCGUGCUGGCACGGGCCAUUACUUUCUAGUAUCAUAUAAUAAGAAUUAGAGCUAGAGUUAUAAGUAAUGAUUUAACACAAUCCAAUAGUUUUGAUCAAAAUCAUUUGUUUGUGUGAAUAAAUAUAUUGAAAAGGCAUAAUACAUAAAUAUGCCCCUUUAACUUGGGCUCAUUUCAUAUUUAUGUCUUCCAACUUUGUUUGUACAUAAGGAAACACUUGAAUUUAUAUAAAGUUGAACAAAUAGACGCAUACAUCAUACUUGACAUCCUACAUGUCCUAUGUGUAUUAUGUCACAUAGGAGUACUCAUGUGUCUACUUGUUCAACUUUACAAAAAUUUAAGUGUCUACCUGUGCAAACCUAAAAUUGAAGGGCAUAAAUGUGAAAUGAGCCUAAAUUAAAAGACACAAUUAUAUAUUAAUCCUGUUAAAAAUGUGUAAAUAAUCUAUCUAGAAUCUAAUAAGCAGCCUUUAUUUUCUAAAAUCGAAAACUCAUAAAUUUAAAAUUCUAAAUUUUCCUCUACUUUUGAUUGACCUCCAACGUAACGUGCUACCUUAUAUAAUGCUAAGAAUUAAGAUCAUCAAUCAUGAUUAUGAAUGAAUUUAAUUAGCCGUCUAUGAGAAUUAUUAAAGAUUAUUCAGCUAAUUAAUUACUUGUUUUAGAUUUUUACAAGUGAUUUUUUGUUAGACAUCAUAAUCCAUAUGAUAAUCUUGUUAAGUUAAACUACUAAUAAAAUAAUUUAUACAGGUUCCUACCGGUGGACCUAAACCCGUUGGAUCUUAAUUAAUCAUAAUAAUUUAUCUCAACUAAAGAUUUUUUUUCUCCUAAACAAUUAUUGUACAUGCAAGUUAUUUAUUGAUAAUAUUAUAUUAAAAUAAAUUAGAGGGUAGGUAGUUAAUUGUAAAUAUGGAAAAGGCUCAGAUAUAUCAUUAGAUUUUGAGAAAAAAAA